RNAcentral lists this ribosomal RNA (373 nucleotides) under uncultured organism. RNAcentral describes it as "bacterial SSU rRNA". It matches the Rfam family "Bacterial small subunit ribosomal RNA", at positions 526 to 896 of the family's 1533-position model. The record is from RNAcentral.
CAGAGGGUGCGAGCGUUGUUCGGAAUUACUGGGCGUAAAGCGCGCGCAGGCGGCCUUUUAAGUCUGACGGUGAAAUGCCGGGGCUCAACCCCGUGCCCGCCGCGGAUACUGGGAGGCUGGAGACGAGUAGAGGCAAGCGGAAUUCCGGGUGUAGCGGUGGAAUGCGUAGAGAUCCGGAAGAACACCGGAGGCGAAGGCGGCUUGCUGGGCUCGGUCUGACGCUGAGGCGCGAAAGCGUGGGGAGCGAACAGGAUUAGAUACCCUGGUAGUCCACGCCGUAAACGAUGGGCACUAGACGCUGGUGGGAUCGACCCCUUCAGUGUCGCAGCUAACGCGAUAAGUGCCCCGCCUGGGGAGUACGGCCGCAAGGCUG